GAUGAACGCUAGCGACAGGCUUAACACAUGCAAGUCGAACGAGAGAUGAGGAGCUUGCUCUUCAAAUCGAGUGGCGAACGGGUGAGUAACGCGUGAGGAACCUGCCUCAAAGAGGGGGACAACAGUUGGAAAUGACUGCUAAUACCGCAUAAGCCCACGAUCCGGCAUCGGAUUGAGGGAAAAGGAUUUAUCGCUUCAGGAUGGACUCGCGUCCAAUUAGCUAGUUGGUGAGGUAACGGCCCACCAAGGCGACGAUUGGUAGCCGGACUGAGAGGUUGAACGGCCACAUUGGGACUGAGACACGGCCCAGACUCCUACGGGAGGCAGCAGUGGGGGAUAUUGCACAAUGGGGGAAACCCUGAUGCAGCGACGCCGCGUGGAGGAAGAAGGUUUUCGGAUUGUAAACUCCUGUCGUUAGGGACGAUAAUGACGGUACCUAACAAGAAAGCACCGGCUAACUACGUG
RNAcentral lists this ribosomal RNA (465 nucleotides) under uncultured bacterium. Its description in RNAcentral is "bacterial SSU rRNA". It matches the Rfam family "Bacterial small subunit ribosomal RNA", at positions 28 to 507 of the family's 1533-position model. The record is from RNAcentral.